Molecule: ribosomal RNA, 495 nt
Filed under: uncultured bacterium
Lineage: Bacteria
Description: partial 16S ribosomal RNA
Rfam family: Bacterial small subunit ribosomal RNA
Source: RNAcentral
GACGAACGCUGGCGGCGUGCCUAAUACAUGCAAGUAGAACGCUGAAGGAGGAGCUUGCUUCUCUGGAUGAGUUGCGAACGGGUGAGUAACGCGUAGGUAACCUGCCUGUUAGCGGGGGAUAACUAUUGGAAACGAUAGCUAAUACCGCAUAAUAUUAGAUGUUGCAUGACAUUUGCUUAAAAGGUGCAAUUGCAUCACUACCAGAUGGACCUGCGUUGUAUUAGCUAGUUGGUGGGGUAACGGCUCACCAAAGCGACGAUACAUAGCCGGCCUGAGAGGGUGAUCGGCCACACUGGGACUGAGACACGGCCCAGACUCCUACGGGAGGCAGCAGUAGGGAAUCUUCGGCAAUGGACGGAAGUCUGACCGAGCAACGCCGCGUGAGUGAAGAAGGUUUUCGGAUCGUAAAGCUCUGUUGUAAGAGAAGAACGAGUGUGAGAGUGGAAAGUUCACACUGUGACGGUAUCUUACCAGAAAGGGACGGCUAACUACGUG